RNAcentral lists this ribosomal RNA (231 nucleotides) under uncultured bacterium. RNAcentral describes it as "partial 16S ribosomal RNA". It matches the Rfam family "Bacterial small subunit ribosomal RNA", at positions 100 to 334 of the family's 1533-position model. The record is from RNAcentral.
CGGGACGGGUGAGUAAUGUCUGGGAAACUGCCUGAUGGAGGGGGGUAACUACUGGAAACGGUAGCUAAUACCGCAUAACGUCGCAAGACCAAGAGGGGGACCUUCGGGCCUCUUGCCAUCGGAUGUGCCCAGAUGGGAUUAGCUAGUAGGUGGGGUAACGGCUCACCUAGGCGACGAUCCCUAGCUGGUCUGAGAGGAUGCCAGCCACACUGGAACUGAGACACGGUCCAG